Molecule: ribosomal RNA, 253 nt
Filed under: uncultured bacterium
Lineage: Bacteria
Description: partial 16S ribosomal RNA
Rfam family: Bacterial small subunit ribosomal RNA
Source: RNAcentral
UACAGAGGUCCCAAGCGUUGUUCGGAUUCACUGGGCGUAAAGGGUGCGUAGGUGGUGAGGUAAGUCGGAUGUGAAAUCUCCGAGCUCAACUCGGAAAUGGCAUUGGAAACUACCUUGCUCGAGGGUUGGAGGGGGGACUGGAAUUCUCGGUGUAGCAGUGAAAUGCGUAGAUAUCGAGAGGAACACCAGUGGCGAAGGCGAGUCCCUGGACAACUCCUGACACUGAGGCACGAAGGCUAGGGGAGCAAACAGG